UACCCGCAGCACAAGUGGUGGUCAUUAUUAUUGGGCCUAAAGCGUCCGUAGCUGGCCUGUUAGAUGCCUGGGUAAAUCGAUGCGCUCAACGUAUCGAAUUCCGGGUAGACCGGCAGGCUCGAGACCGGGAGAGGUGUAGGCUACUCGCGGGGUAGGGGUAAAAUCCUGUAAUCCUGCGGGGAGGACCAGUGGCGAAGGCGCUACACUAGAACGGCUCUGACAGUGAGGGACGAAGCCCUGGGGCGCAAACCGG
Molecule: ribosomal RNA, 253 nt
Filed under: uncultured bacterium
Lineage: Bacteria
Also listed under: 1 other name
Description: partial 16S ribosomal RNA
Rfam family: Archaeal small subunit ribosomal RNA
Source: RNAcentral